Molecule: ribosomal RNA, 540 nt
Filed under: Rhizobium leguminosarum
Lineage: Bacteria; Pseudomonadati; Pseudomonadota; Alphaproteobacteria; Hyphomicrobiales; Rhizobiaceae
Description: bacterial SSU rRNA
Rfam family: Bacterial small subunit ribosomal RNA
Source: RNAcentral
UGCAUUGGAAACUGGUAGACUUGAGUGCAGGAGAGGAUGAGUGGAAUUCCCAUGUGUAAGCGGUGAAAAUGCGUAGAUAUAUGGAAGGGAACACCGGUGGCGAAAAGCGGCUCCUCUGGCCUGUAACUGACACUGAAGCUCGAAAAGCGUGGGGGAGCAAACAGGAUUAGAUACCCCUGGUAGUCCCACGCCGGUAAACGAUGAGUGCUAGAUGUAUGGAGCCUAUAAGUUCUCUGUAUCGCAGCUAACGGCAAUAAGCACUCCGCCUGGGGGAGUACGACCGCAAGGUUGAAACUCAAAGGAAUUGACGGGGGCCCGCACAAACGGUGGAGCAUGGUGGUUUAAUUCGAAGCAACGCGAAGAACCUUACCAGGUCUUGACAUACUCGUGCUAUUCCUAGAAAUAGGAAGUUCAUUCGGGACACGGGAUACAGGUGGGUGCAUGGGUUGUCCUCAGCUCCUGUCCCUGAAAAUGUUUGGGCUUAAAUCCCCCAACCAACCGCAACCCCCUAUUGGUUAGUUGGCCAUCCAUUAAAUUUGG